UUGGAGGGCAAGUCUGGUGCCAGCAGCCGCGGUAAUUCCAGCUCCAAUAGCGUAUAUUAAAGUUGUUGCAGUUAAAAAGCUCGUAGUUGAAUUUCGGGGUUCUACCGUUGGUCGGGCUUUGUCUGUACUGGUGUGUAGAAUUUCUACCUUCUGGGGAACCAUCAUGCUAUUAAUUUAGCGUGGUGGGAAACCAGGACCUUUACCUUGAAAAAAUUAGUGUGUUCAAAGCAGGCUUAUGUCUGAAUACAUUAGCGUGGAAUAAUAGAAUAGGACGGUGGUCCUGUUUUGUUGGUUUCUGAAUCACCGUAAUGAUUAAUAGGGAUAGUUGGGGGCAUUAGUAUUCAAUUGUCAGGGGUGAAAUUCUUGGAUUUAUUGAAGACUAACUUCUGCGAAAGCAUUUGCCAAGGAUGUUUUUAUUAAUCAAGAACGAAAGUUAGGGGAUCGAAGACGAUCAGAUACCGUCGUAGUCUUAACCAUAAACUAUGCCGACUAGGGAUCGGACGAUGUUAAUUUUUCUUGACUCGUUCGGCGCCUUACGGGAAAC
Molecule: ribosomal RNA, 544 nt
Filed under: uncultured Glomeromycotina
Lineage: Eukaryota; Fungi; Glomeromycota
Description: SSU rRNA
Rfam family: Eukaryotic small subunit ribosomal RNA
Source: RNAcentral